RNAcentral lists this ribosomal RNA (93 nucleotides) under Escherichia coli. The record is from RNAcentral. Lineage: Bacteria; Pseudomonadati; Pseudomonadota; Gammaproteobacteria; Enterobacterales; Enterobacteriaceae.
CCCACCUGACCCCAUGCCGAACUCAGAAGUGAAACGCCGUAGCGCCGAUGGUAGUGUGGGGUCUCCCCAUGCGAGAGUAGGGAACUGCUAGGC